This is a long non-coding RNA of Aquila chrysaetos chrysaetos, 2727 nucleotides long. Lineage: Eukaryota; Metazoa; Chordata; Aves; Accipitriformes; Accipitridae. The record is from Ensembl.
GCCCGGGGCUCGGUGGGGCUCUCCCUCGCGGCUGUGCCGGCACUGCGGCGGGGGUCCGUCCCCCGCACCCGCGCUGGCUCUGCUGCUUGGCGGCCUUAGGGACCGGGCAGGCGCGCUGCCGAGCCAAGGGGAGGCCGGGCCUCGGGCCUCGGCAGCGAGCUGCCGAGCGCCGGGCCUGGCCCGGCCUCGGCCUGCCCGUGCCGGCGUGGCCUCCAUUCCGCACGCCGGCGGUUGUCCGCCGCCAGCAGCCUUUCUAGCAAGGGGCGGCCGUGGCAGCGGCUCUGGCUUGCUUUCAGACUGGCCUCCGGGCAGCUCCUUGCAGCAGCCACCCAUCCCCCGCCCGGCCCGCCAGCCUGGCCUUGCGGGCAGGCCGCUGUAGAAGAGGUAUCUCGAAGGCGUAUCUCGUCUACAUACACGCACCAGGCUGAAUUUGCAGGCCGUGGCCAGCACUGCUGGCUGACAGAGGUCCUGUCCUCCGGCAGGACCCGCGGGCCCCUCGCUGGUCCCUCGGGACAGCUGUUCGGCAGGCAGAGGGAUUGCCCUGCAGCUUCAGACAUGGGUCGUCUUGCAGAGUAGAAGAUGAGACCGACAGAUGUGGCUGUGCUGAGUAGGCAGAGGCAUGGACUACUCUUUGAUCCUAUAAAGUUUAUCCUGGUUUUCAUGAAACACCCCUGUAAGUGGCCAGCAAUACAUCUCAUUGCCGCUUCUCUUUUGCUUGCACUUCCUGCAGUUUUUAUAGAAAGGUAUUUUAAAAAGCAGAACAUUCCAGCCAUUGCUCCAGGAAGAAUGAAAGGACAGUCAGAGCAGAUCACGUACCCAGUGACCCUGAAAGUAAAAGGCUUGUACUACUUUCUGCUAGCCCCCACGCUUUGCUACCACCUGAAUUUCCUAAGAAAUUCACACUGCAGACACAGCUAUAUCAUUAAGAGGCUCCUGGAAGUGGGCCCUGAAGGAGUAAACAAAUGUCCUACAGACUGUACGUGCACUCUGCUAAAAAUGUAGCAAUAGCCAGAGCUGUCUGCGGUUGCUUUCCUUUUGUGAUAUUUGAAUGGGAGUUACUAUUUGAUCAUCAUGGAUUAACCUUUAAAGGGGCUCUUGAAGGAUCUGGCAAUUUCAUAGAGGUGAUACGAAGUGUGUGGGACUCUUUCGCCUCCUGCCAAUAAACCGGACCAAAUUAAGCCCCCUGGUCUAGCAGGUCAUCACAGAUCCAUUGGCCCAUCCAGGCAAGGCCAAGCAUCAUCCGUUGUCCGUGCAGGCAAUGUGCAUGGUGAAUGCUCUGAAACAGUGACAGUGAGAGGAGUCCUUGCACUAAGAUGUUGACAUCUUAUGUUAGAGUGAGUAAUGUGCUGGGAUGUGUGCCAGCCUCUGAGACCUUCACAGGAUGGCUGCAGCAUAAGCAAUUUCAGUGUCAGUUAAUUACACUUGAAGACACUGUGGUCGUUGUGGUAUCUAAAUACAAAAUAGAUGGAGAUAUGGAGUGAUGCCUCAGGACAUGGUGACUUUAGUGUGAGGUAAUCAAUGAAGGGCUUUGAAGUCUCUUCUUGUUUUCAUUGCAGAUAUUUCUCUUUCAUCUCAUGCUGGUGCUAUUUCAACAGGUAUUGUUUUUUUCUUUAAUGUUAAAAGCCAGGGAUUCAAUUGUCACAUAUAACAAGAACUGCUGGGAUGCAGUUCUUAGCAUCUAACAUUAUAGGAAAGUUAUGGCUGACCUGCACCACUUUAUUCUCCUAACCACCUCUGCAACUACCUUAAUGCUUAGGUACCGCAGAAAUGGCUCACUUUAUCAUGUCUGUACUUACUCUCAUCUCCUUAAACACAGCAGCUAGCCCACAGAUGAUGAUUCCAGUGCCUACUCAGUAUAAAGAAAGGAAAGGGAAGACACUGGGAUCGGGGGUGCUGCCUGUCUCAUUUUAUGGCCUGCUAGAUGACCCUUUGCAUCUCUGGGUCUAAGUUUUCUCUUCUCUGUGAAAGGCUGUAACUUUUUAAGGUACUUUGGGAUCUGCAGAGGAAAAGCUCUGUAGCUGUGUUAACACAAACAAUUCUUUCUCGUGCUUCCUGUGGCAGUCUCCCAGCAGCUGUCACCUGGCUUGUCCAAGAUCCCCUGCAGAAUUUCUCCAGAACCUUUUCUGCCAGCAGUGUGGGCAGCCGAGAAUAGUAAAUUAAUAUUUGUUCAAAGAUUUUUGGGGGCAUAAAGUAUAUUUUUCAUGCCAGUGUAAGUAUGAUAUAGUUCUCAUAAAGCUCUUGCUGUAAUAAAGCACUUAAAAUAGCUAUCCGUGCAAGCUCUUCACCUCAGCUGGCAGCCUUUUUCACACAAGAGGAUGUGCUGUGGAUGGUCUUCUCUGUUAAUACAUCCCAACAGAACUUUUUUGUGCCUUUCUGUCCCGGGUAGAGAAGGCUGGAGGACUUUGUCCUGCUGCCAUUGGCCUAUCCCGCUUACACAGUGGAGUUUCAAUGGUGAAGGCUUUACAGCCAUCCUCAGUGCUCAGGGAAAGAGCCACCCAUGUUAUCACCCAGUUAUCUGCUGGCUGUUUGCCAGUGCCAGCAUCUCAUCAGUCUGUAUGGGCUCAUAUGUGGCAGAGGCUGCAGCUGUGUUUUCUCAUCAUAGCAGACACAAAAUAAUGAGUCAUUUUACAGGGCCUUCCAAUCAAAACUGUGUGUACCUUAAUUGCUCUCUAUUUUUUCUUUCAGUGGAUUUUACCAAAUACACAUGAAUCAGUGAAGUUUAUAAAU